RNAcentral lists this ribosomal RNA (473 nucleotides) under uncultured bacterium. Its description in RNAcentral is "bacterial SSU rRNA". It matches the Rfam family "Bacterial small subunit ribosomal RNA", at positions 330 to 800 of the family's 1533-position model. The record is from RNAcentral.
UGCGAACUCCUACGGGAGGCAGCAGUGAGGAAUAUUGGUCAAUGGACGUAAGUCUGAACCAGCCAAGUAGCGUGCAGGAAGACGGCCCUAUGGGUUGUAAACUGCUUUUGUAUGGGGAUAAAGUCAAUCACGUGUGAUUGUUUGCAGGUACCAUACGAAUAAGGACCGGCUAAUUCCGUGCCAGCAGCCGCGGUAAUACGGAAGGUCCAGGCGUUAUCCGGAUUUAUUGGGUUUAAAGGGAGCGUAGGCCGGAGAUUAAGUGUGUUGUGAAAUGUAGACGCUCAACGUCUGACUUGCAGCGCAUACUGGUUUCCUUGAGUACGCACAACGUUGGCGGAAUUCGUCGUGUAGCGGUGAAAUGCUUAGAUAUGACGAAGAACUCCGAUUGCGAAGGCAGCUGACGGGAGCGCAACUGACGCUGAAGCUCGAAGGUGCGGGUAUCGAACAGGAUUAGAUACCCCGGUAGUCCUAUC